GGGAGCUUGCUCCCGGAUGUUAGCGGCGGACGGGUGAGUAACACGUGGGUAACCUGCCUGUAAGACUGGGAUAACUCCGGGAAACCGGAGCUAAUACCGGAUAGUUCCUUGAACCGCAUGGUUCAAGGAUGAAAGACGGUUUCGGCUGUCACUUACAGAUGGACCCGCGGCGCAUUAGCUAGUUGGUGGGGUAAUGGCUCACCAAGGCGACGAUGCGUAGCCGACCUGAGAGGGUGAUCGGCCACACUGGGACUGAGACACGGCCCAGACUCCUACGGGAGGCAGCAGUAGGGAAUCUUCCGCAAUGGACGAAAGUCUGACGGAGCAACGCCGCGUGAGUGAUGAAGGUUUUCGGAUCGUAAAGCUCUGUUGUUAGGGAAGAACAAGUGCGAGAGUAACUGCUCGCACCUUGACGGUACCUAACCAGAAAGCCACGGCUAACUACGUGCCAGCAGCCGCGGUAAUACGUAGGUGGCAAGCGUUGUCCGGAAUUAUUGGGCGUAAAGGGCUCGCAGGCGGUUUCUUAAGUCUGAUGUGAAAGCCCCCGGCUCAACCGGGGAGGGUCAUUGGAAACUGGGAAACUUGAGUGCAGAAGAGGAGAGUGGAAUUCCACGUGUAGCGGUGAAAUGCGUAGAGAUGUGGAGGAACACCAGUGGCGAAGGCGACUCUCUGGUCUGUAACUGACGCUGAGGAGCGAAAGCGUGGGGAGCGAACAGGAUUAGAUACCC
This 728-nucleotide ribosomal RNA is filed under the name Bacillus sp. (in: firmicutes). RNAcentral's name for it is "bacterial SSU rRNA". It matches the Rfam family "Bacterial small subunit ribosomal RNA", at positions 74 to 787 of the family's 1533-position model. Lineage: Bacteria; Bacillati; Bacillota; Bacilli; Caryophanales; Bacillaceae. The record is from RNAcentral.